Molecule: ribosomal RNA, 449 nt
Filed under: uncultured Acidobacteriota bacterium
Lineage: Bacteria; Pseudomonadati; Acidobacteriota
Description: bacterial SSU rRNA
Rfam family: Bacterial small subunit ribosomal RNA
Source: RNAcentral
AGAGUUUGAUCAUGGCUCAGAAUCAACGCUGGCGGCGUGCCUAACACAUGCAAGUCGAACGAGAAAGUGGGAGCAAUCCCAUGAGUAAAGUGGCGACCGGGUGAGUAACACGUGACCAAUCUACCCUCGAGUGGGGGAUAACUCCGGGAAACCGGAGCUAAUACCGCAUAACAUCAUUGGGGCGCAGGUUCCGAUGAUCAAAGGAGCAAUUCGCUUGAGGAGGAGGUCGCGGCUGGUUAGCUAGUUGGUAGGGUAAUGGCCUACCAAGGCUGAGAUCGGUAGCCGGCCUGAGAGGGCGCACGGCCACACUGGAACUGAAACACGGUCCAGACUCCUACGGGAGGCAGCAGUGGGGAAUUUUGCGCAAUGGGGGAAACCCUGACGCAGCAACGCCGCGUGGAGGAUGAAGUCCCUUGGGACGUAAACUCCUUUCGACCGGGAAGAUAAUG